This 260-nucleotide unclassified non-coding RNA is filed under the name uncultured bacterium. RNAcentral describes it as "contains 16S-23S intergenic spacer region". The record is from RNAcentral.
CCAAGCCAAAGGUGAGCAGCCUCAUGUGCAAGAGUGAAGACCUGUGCCGCCCGACUAUCAUGGCUAUUCACAAAAAUCAGGGGGGCAAUUUCGUCCACUAGUGCGAAGCCUCGAAACUCGUCGAGGUCAAGCGUGCGCUUGUUGUCGUUUCCGACGACGCCAUUCACAUUAACCAGAAUGCCGAUGGCCUCUAGUUGCGUAAUCAGCAGCUUGCGGGCUUGCUCCCAGGUACUCGGUUUCGAUUCAGCCCGAUCCAAAGC